This is a long non-coding RNA of Epinephelus moara (kelp grouper), 346 nucleotides long. RefSeq lists it as uncharacterized. The transcript has 4 exons. The record is from RefSeq and is a predicted model, not a curated record. NCBI's taxonomy places the organism in Eukaryota, Metazoa, Chordata, Actinopteri, Perciformes, Serranidae.
GCCCCAGGAGUAUAUAAGAGGUGGUGUGGUUUCUUCUCAUCAUUUUUUACAGCCGCUUUCCUUCAAUGUAAAUCACAGAACAGCGAUGGCAGCAGCAGCCGUGCCAAGAAGCAGAGGAGUGGCUGGUGGCCUGUACUUCCUCUUCACUCUGAUGUGUCUGGUUUGCCUCGCAAGUUCACUGAUCGACAUGAACAAAGUGGCGGAUAUCAAGGAAAGCAAUCAGAUAAUUCAACAGAAAUUGGACGAAUUGAAGGCACAAAAGGACAUCUUUUUAGAGACCACGAGUGAAAAUAUGAGGGACAUUUACUCAGUGAUGACAUAUCUGAAGGAAACGGCAGAAGAAUCU